Molecule: ribosomal RNA, 460 nt
Filed under: uncultured bacterium
Lineage: Bacteria
Description: bacterial SSU rRNA
Rfam family: Bacterial small subunit ribosomal RNA
Source: RNAcentral
AUUGAACGCUGGCGGCAUGCUUUACACAUGCAAGUCGGACGGCAGCACAGAGAAGCUUGCUUCUUGGGUGGCGAGUGGCGAACGGGUGAGUAACAUAUCGGAACGUACCGGGCAGUGGGGGAUAACUAAUCGAAAGAUUAGCUAAUACCGCAUAUCUUCUGAGGAAGAAAGCAGGGGACCAUUUGGCCUUGCGCUGUUUGAGCGGCCGAUAUCUGAUUAGCUAGUUGGUGGGGUAAAGGCCUACCAAGGCGACGAUCAGUAGCGGGUCUGAGAGGAUGAUCCGCCACACUGGGACUGAGACACGGCCCAGACUCCUACGGGAGGCAGCAGUGGGGAAUUUUGGACAAUGGGCGCAAGCCUGAUCCAGCCAUGCCGCGUGUCUGAAGAAGGCCUUCGGGUUGUAAAGGACUUUUGUCAGGGAAGAAAAGGGCGGGGUUAAUACCCCUGUCUGAUGACGGUA